CACCGCCCGUCACACCAUGGGAGUCAGUUGUGCCGGAAGCCGGCGAUCCAACCCGCAAGGGGGGUAGCCGUCCAUGGUAUGGCUGAUGACUGGGGUG
Molecule: ribosomal RNA, 97 nt
Filed under: uncultured bacterium
Lineage: Bacteria
Description: partial 16S ribosomal RNA
Rfam family: Bacterial small subunit ribosomal RNA
Source: RNAcentral